AUUGAACGCUGGCGGAAUGCUUUACACAUGCAAGUCGAACGGCAGCACGGACUUCGGUCUGGUGGCGAGUGGCGAACGGGUGAGUAAUGUAUCGGAACGUGCCCAGUCGUGGGGGAUAACGUAGUGAAAAUUACGCUAAUACCGCAUACGAUCUAUGGAUGAAAGCGGGGGAUCGCAAGACCUCGCGCGAUUGGAGCGGCCGAUAUCAGAUUAGGUAGUUGGUGGGGUAAAGGCCCACCAAGCCAACGAUCUGUAGCUGGUCUGAGCGGACGACCAGCCACACGGGAACUGAGACACGGUCCAGACUCCUACGGGUGGCAGCAGUGGGGAAUUUUGGACAAUGGGCGAAAGCCUGAUCCAGCCAUUCCGCGUGCAGGAUGAAGGCCCUCGGGUUGUAAACUGCUUUUGUACAGAACGAAAAGGUUUCUACUAAUACUAGGAGCUCAUGACGGUACUGUAAGAAUAAGCACCGGCUAACUACGUGCCAGCAGCCGCCGUAA
This 500-nucleotide ribosomal RNA is filed under the name uncultured bacterium. RNAcentral describes it as "partial 16S ribosomal RNA". It matches the Rfam family "Bacterial small subunit ribosomal RNA", at positions 30 to 523 of the family's 1533-position model. The record is from RNAcentral.